This 253-nucleotide ribosomal RNA is filed under the name uncultured bacterium. Its description in RNAcentral is "partial 16S ribosomal RNA". It matches the Rfam family "Bacterial small subunit ribosomal RNA", at positions 524 to 776 of the family's 1533-position model. The record is from RNAcentral.
UACGUAGGGCGCAAGCGUUGUCCGGAAUUAUUGGGCGUAAAGAGCUCGUAGGCGGCUUGUCGCGUCUGCUGUGAAAUCCCGGGGCUCAACCCCGGGCGUGCAGUGGAUACGGGCUGGCUAGAGGCAGGCAGGGGAGAACGGAAUUCCCGGUGUAGCGGUGAAAUGCGCAGAUAUCGGGAGGAACACCGGUGGCGAAGGCGGUUCUCUGGGCCUGUUCUGACGCUGAGGAGCGAAAGCGUGGGGAGCGAGCAGG